RNAcentral lists this microRNA (20 nucleotides) under Ciona intestinalis (vase tunicate). Its description in RNAcentral is "cin-miR-4097-3p". The record is from miRBase by way of RNAcentral. Lineage: Eukaryota; Metazoa; Chordata; Ascidiacea; Phlebobranchia; Cionidae.
AGGUCAGCUUUGCCAUCAAC